CAGCACUAUUGGAUGAAACAAGAGGUCCGAACUAGUUUUUCCUAUACAUUGUCUUGAAGCAGUGAUGCACCCCUCUAGGUGACCAAAACAUUCAGGGACUUGCCUUUAAAAUCAAUAGGUUUUGACAAAAUCGGAGGUUCCUGCAAACAUGGCAUGUGCAUCAGGAUUAAUGCUUUGGUAUUUUGCCAUCCUUGGAAGUGUAAUAUCAUCAUCAUUACGAAAUAUGACAGAUAUCGGCCCAGAGGUUUUAGACAUGUUACUUCAAACAGGCCAAUACGAAGAAUUCAGUAAAC
Long non-coding RNA from Stegodyphus dumicola, 293 nucleotides. The record is from RefSeq and is a predicted model, not a curated record. Lineage: Eukaryota; Metazoa; Arthropoda; Arachnida; Araneae; Eresidae.